UCCUGGAUGGUCCAGCGGUUGGGAGUCUGCCUGACAAUGCAGAGGACACAGGUUCGAUCCCUGGUCUGGGAA
RNAcentral lists this transfer RNA (72 nucleotides) under Ovis aries (sheep). It matches the Rfam family "tRNA". Rfam says of the family: Transfer RNA (tRNA) molecules are approximately 80 nucleotides in length. Their secondary structure includes four short double-helical elements and three loops (D, anti-codon, and T loops). Lineage: Eukaryota; Metazoa; Chordata; Mammalia; Artiodactyla; Bovidae. The record is from Rfam by way of RNAcentral.